CCUACGGGGUGCAGCAGUGGGGAAUAUUGCACAAUGGGGGAGACCCUGAUGCAGCAACGCCGCGUGAGUGAUGACGGCCUUCGGGUUGUAAAGCUCUGUCUUCAGGGACGAUAAUGACGGUACCUGAGGAGGAAGCCACGGCUAACUACGUGCCAGCAGCCGCGGUAAUAUGUAGGUGGCGAGCGUUGUCCGGAUUUACUGGGCGUAAAGGGAGCGUAGGCGGACUUUUAAGUGAGAUGUGAAAUUCCCGGGCUCAACUUGGGUGCUGCAUUUCAAACUGGAAGUCUAGAGUGCAGGAGAGGAGAAUGGAAUUACUAGUGUAGCGGUGAAAUGCGUAGAGAUUAGGAAGAACACCAGUGGCGAAGGCGAUUCUCUGGACUGUAACUGACGCUGAGGCUCGAAAGCGUGGGGAGCAAACAGGAUUUGAUACCCCAGUAGUC
This 440-nucleotide ribosomal RNA is filed under the name uncultured bacterium. RNAcentral's name for it is "bacterial SSU rRNA". It matches the Rfam family "Bacterial small subunit ribosomal RNA", at positions 338 to 795 of the family's 1533-position model. The record is from RNAcentral.